GGGGAUGUAGCUCAAACGGUAGAGCGCUCGCUUUGCAUGCGAGAGGUACGGGGUUCCAUACCCUGCAUCUCCA
Molecule: non-coding RNA, 73 nt
Organism: Picea glauca (white spruce)
Lineage: Eukaryota; Viridiplantae; Streptophyta; Pinopsida; Pinales; Pinaceae
Source: Rfam